Molecule: microRNA precursor, 84 nt
Organism: Catagonus wagneri (Chacoan peccary)
Lineage: Eukaryota; Metazoa; Chordata; Mammalia; Artiodactyla; Tayassuidae
Gene: MIR218-2
Product: microRNA 218-2
Source: Ensembl
GGGCUUUCCUUUGUGCUUGAUCUAACCAUGUGGUGGAACGAUGGAAACGGAACAUGGUUCUGUCAAGCACCGCGGAAAGCUCCG